Non-coding RNA from Nylanderia fulva, 664 nucleotides. The record is from RefSeq and is a predicted model, not a curated record. Lineage: Eukaryota; Metazoa; Arthropoda; Insecta; Hymenoptera; Formicidae.
UUCACAUCACGCGUCGCCGGUUGGAGAUCGAGUCACGUUCGCGCCGCGCUCCCGUAGUUUUUACCCGUCCCGGGCGAAUUUCGUGUACGAACGAGUUUCGGGAGUGCCGAAUCUGGUGACGGACGAUCGUGUGUUAAUUGAUCCGCGUGAUCACGGUAAAAGCUUUUCUCGAUCAUCGAAAUCGGCGUCCGUUGUUCCCCCGUGUGUCGAACCGGAGCCGGCCUGCGAAGGACUUUAUUCCUUUCGUGUGUAUAUUCAAGGUAUUCGCAUGUCUACGAUGUAUAUGAUGAGUUUCACGAAUAUUUGAAGCAUCAAGGAAUAUCGAGAAAUAUCAAGGAGCCUCGAGGAGCUUCGGAGGAAUCGGUGGAUUGAGACAGAUAACAGUGCGAUUCACGCGUAUCGGGAGUGCCGUGUAAAGUGUCGGGCGAUCGUAAUUAUUCGUGUUUUCGCGAGUGUGUGAGUGCUAUGAAGGACCAAAAGAGAAAAAGGAGGCUCGGGGAAGCAUCCGGCGAUAGCGGAUCAACUAUGAGAUCAAUGCGCUGUCUACAACUCCGCUAUUGCACGGUGUAUCGGUGAGUGAGAAUCUGGUUAUUUUAUAAUAUUUCUAGCGGUGAUAGGGAUGUAUGUAAAACGCGCGCUUGUAACUGCUCCGUAUAUUUCAUUA